CGGAGGGUGCGAGCGUUAUCCGGAAUUACUGGGUUUAAAGGGUGCGUAGGCGGCCAAGUAAGUCAGGAGUGAAAGUUUGCGGCUCAACCGUAAAAUUGCUUUUGAUACUGCUAGGCUAGAAUUAGGAUGAGGUCAGCGGAAUGUGGCAUGUAGCGGUGAAAUGCAUAGAUAUGCCAUAGAACACCAAUUGCGAAGGCAGCUGGCUAGACCUGGAUUGACGCUGAGGCACGAAAGCGUGGGGAUCGAACAGGAUUAGAUACCCUGGUAGUCCACGCCCUAAACGAUGCUCACUCGACGUAUGCCACCAGAUGGUGUGCGUCCAAGGGAAACCGUUAAGUGAGCCACCUGGGGAGUACGACCGCAAGGUU
This 368-nucleotide ribosomal RNA is filed under the name uncultured organism. RNAcentral's name for it is "bacterial SSU rRNA". It matches the Rfam family "Bacterial small subunit ribosomal RNA", at positions 526 to 895 of the family's 1533-position model. The record is from RNAcentral.